Molecule: ribosomal RNA, 253 nt
Filed under: uncultured bacterium
Lineage: Bacteria
Description: partial 16S ribosomal RNA
Rfam family: Bacterial small subunit ribosomal RNA
Source: RNAcentral
UACGUAGGGUGCGAGCGUUGUCCGGAAUUAUUGGGCGUAAAGGGCUCGUAGGCGGUUUGUCGCGUCGGGAGUGAAAACCUACAGCUUAACUGUGGGCUUGCUUUCGAUACGGGCAGACUAGAGGUAUGCAGGGGAGAACGGAAUUCCUGGUGUAGCGGUGAAAUGCGCAGAUAUCAGGAGGAACACCGGUGGCGAAGGCGGAUCUCUGGGCCUGAUCUGACGCUGAGGCGCGAAAGCUAGGGGAGCGAACAGG